UGAAAGCAUCUAAGCACGAAACUUGCCCCGAGAUGAGUUCUCCCUGACUCCUUGAGAGUCCUGAAGGAACGUUGAAGACGACGACGUUGAUAGGCCGGGUGUGUAAGCGCAGCGAUGCGUUGAGCUAACCGGUACUAAUGAACCGUGAGGCUUAACCUUACAACGCCGAAGCUGUU
Molecule: ribosomal RNA, 176 nt
Filed under: Escherichia coli
Lineage: Bacteria; Pseudomonadati; Pseudomonadota; Gammaproteobacteria; Enterobacterales; Enterobacteriaceae
Description: partial 23S ribosomal RNA
Rfam family: Bacterial large subunit ribosomal RNA
Source: RNAcentral